CCUACGGGAGGCAGCAGUAGGGAAUCUUGCGCAAUGGGCGAAAGCCUGACGCAGCGACGCCGCGUGGGGGAUGAAGGUCUUCGGAUCGUAAACCCCUGUCUUUGGGGACGAAGCAUGACGGUACCCAAGGAGGAAGCCCCGGCUAACUACGUGCCAGCAGCCGCGUAAU
Molecule: ribosomal RNA, 169 nt
Filed under: uncultured Bacillota bacterium
Lineage: Bacteria; Bacillati; Bacillota
Description: uncultured Firmicutes bacterium partial 16S ribosomal RNA
Rfam family: Bacterial small subunit ribosomal RNA
Source: RNAcentral